GUGGGGAAUUUUGGACAAUGGGCGAAAGCCUGAUCCAGCAAUGCCGCGUGCAGGAAGAAGGCCUUCGGGUUGUAAACUGCUUUUGUACGGAACGAAACGGUCCGGGUUAAUACCCUGGGCUAAUGACGGUACCGUAAGAAUAAGCACCGGCUAACUACGUGCCAGCAGCCGCGGUAAUACGUAGGGUGCAAGCGUUAAUCGGAAUUACUGGGCGUAAAGCGUGCGCAGGCGGUUUUGUAAGACAGGCGUGAAAUCCCCGGGCUCAACCUGGGAAUUGCGCUUGUGACUGCAAGGCUGGAGUGCGGCAGAGGGGGAUGGAAUUCCGCGUGUAGCAGUGAAAUGCGUAGAUAUGCGGAGGAACACCGAUGGCGAAGGCAAUCCCCUGGGCCUGCACUGACGCUCAUGCACGAAAGCGUGGGGAGCAAACAGGAUUAGAAACCCCGGUAGUCC
RNAcentral lists this ribosomal RNA (450 nucleotides) under uncultured bacterium. RNAcentral's name for it is "bacterial SSU rRNA". It matches the Rfam family "Bacterial small subunit ribosomal RNA", at positions 354 to 796 of the family's 1533-position model. The record is from RNAcentral.